This 435-nucleotide ribosomal RNA is filed under the name uncultured bacterium. RNAcentral's name for it is "partial 16S ribosomal RNA". It matches the Rfam family "Bacterial small subunit ribosomal RNA", at positions 28 to 507 of the family's 1533-position model. The record is from RNAcentral.
GAUGAACGCUGGCGGUAUGCUUAACACAUGCAAGUCGAACGGACUCUUCGUAUUUAGUGGCUGACGGGUGAGUAACGCGUUAGAAUCUUGCUUUGGGUUCGGGACAACCACUGUAAACGUUGGCUAAUACCGGAUGUUCCCUGAGGUAAAAGAGAAAUUGCCUGAAGAUGAGCUCGCGUCUGUUUAGCUAGUUGGUGUGUUAAAGGCUCACCAAGGCAGCGAUCAGUAGCUGGUGUGAGAGGAUGACCAGCCACACUGGGACUGAGACACGGCCGAGAAUAAUAGGGGAGGAAGCAGUGGGGAAUAAUACGAAAAGGGCGAAAGACUGAAGGAGCAAUAACGCGUGAGGGAAGAAGGAUCUUGGGUUGUAAAACUGUUUUCUUAGGGAAGAACAAAAUGACGGUACCUAAGGAAUAAGCAUCGGCUAACUCCGUG